UCUAAAUAUUUAAUGCAUUUGGGGCAUCCUUGGUCAAAGGAUCCCUUUAUUGUAGGUCUGUAUAUAAGAAAACCACUGAGGAGUACACCAACCACUGGAGCUUGACAUUAAACACCAGAAGCAUACAUAAUCAUUUGCAGAUUUUCAGGACAUUAUUUAUUCUCUCUUGUAGUAUUAUUCUGUCCAAUGUUUUGCAUAUAUAGGCAAUGCUCAAAUGUUUUGGCCUUCUUCCUUUCCAUCAAUCCUCAGGACUUCAAGGUAUGAUUUUCCAUCAAGUGCCCGUGAAAAUAAUUUCUUGAAAUAAUCUGCAACCCCCACUCUUCUGAACAGUGCUGGAAACUCUGGAGUGAUGAGACUGGGCACUGGACCUAUUUCUGCAUCCAUUUGUGGGCUGUGAAAUGUAGCAAUAGACAGCCUCUCUUUAACUGAGUUGACAACUGCUCGAUGCUCGAUGCUUUUAUAAAUCCCAUUGCUGAAAAUCUGCCAAAUCAUGGAGGAAAACAGACAACAUGAAUCAUUGAAAUACAAUCCUGUGUUGAUUUGAACAUAAAAUGGCAGGUUCUUCAGUUACCUCCAGAAUGUCUCCAAUGUUGACAAUAAAAGCAUUAGGAAGGGGUGUGAUGGGAAUCCACAUCCCAUCUUUCCUUAUCUGAAGGCCUUCCACUUCAUUGACUUGGAGGAGGAUAGUGAGGCCAACAGAGUCCGAAUGAGGGGUUUGGCCGAUGACUUGCUCAGGUUGUGGACAUGGAGGAUAGUAGUUCAUCCUCAUUCCCUGUAACCCUUGUUCAAACAAUUCUCUCAUCUCAUUAACUUCUAUUUUUAGAGCUUUUUCCAUGAAGCUAAGCAUUGUCAGGGCAAGAUUUCUCAUUUCAACCACAUAAAUUUCCAAGGUAUCUCUGCAUGAAAAGCAAGAUAGUUGGAACUUCAUUCAGUAGGAGGAUAAGCAAACAGAAGCUCCAUGUGCCUUUUGUCCUUGGUUAAUCCCCUCUUUUUCUUUAGAAGGCCAAAGAAAACACACAAAAUUUUUGAAGGGUACUUAAAAUUAAUUGUUGUAUAUAAUAAUUAAUUAAAAACAUUUUGAUCUUUGAUGCAUUUGAUAUAUGUUAAUUUUACAAGCUUGCACAUUAUUCUUCAAAAGCAUACAAUUUUUCUUCACUUGAUAUUUUACCCCAACAAGUACAGAGAGAGAGAGAGAGAGAGAGAGAGAGAACAUGAAUGUAUGUGUGUAAGAGAGAGAAAGAAAGGGAGGGAGAGAGAGAGAACCUGAAUGGAAGAGGGAAUUUGGGAAAUAAGCGGGGCUUCCUGAAGUGAGUUGGAAGAGUAGACAUGAAAAAGAGGUCUCCCCAGUCAAGUUUUUGCUCCUCAGAAACAACGAAGGCCUGUCCAAAUCCCUCCACCUCCCCUGGCUUUUGCCAAAACUUCUUCUUCUCAUCCAUUGGGAGAUUGAAGAAUUCUUGUGUCUCUGCCUUCACUUUCUCAACCAAUGAAGAGCUCACUCCAUGAUUUAUCAACUGUGAUCAAUUGAUAUACUUACUUUGGUGCCAAAAAAUUGUAUGAAUAUGUUUAAGGAAAUUAACAACUUGUUUCAAAUUUCAUUUUUAUCCAGAAAUUACUUUGAUUAAUUGCAAUGUGCUUUGACCAAAUUUUGUCUAUUAUAAUGUAUUCUUAGAAUUUAGAUCAUUUAGUGGUAAAUAAACCAAAAAAAAAAGGUAUUACGUCCAAACAGCCUUGUUUCUCUAAUUUUUGUAAGAAAUUGGGCUUUUAAUUUUAAUAUAAAGGUAAAACUUGUGGAAAGUUUCUCAAGUUUUUUUUUUUUUUUUUUCACAAUCAAUUUCUAAUUCCUUAAUAUUUUCCUAUCAAAAAAUUUUCUUUGUAAAGGAAAUUCCAUGGGAACAUUUUUCUUUUUCUUCCUUUUAAUGAAACUUGACAUAUAAAACAUAGGUGAAGAUAGCCAAUUGAAAUAUAUUUCAAGUUUGGAGAAAGUAUAUAAAGGACUACUUGCCUCUCCUAGCCUUAAAACCCAAUACUAGGCUUUUUUUUUUUUUACGAUUCACCUCAUUAUCCAUUCUAAAGUCCUAACCAUUAUCUUUGACACCUUCUUUGAAAUCAUCAACAAUAUUGCCUUCAAAAGCCUCACCAUUGGAAGUCCUGAAAAGCUCUCACCAUUCAAAUGUGAUAAUCAAUGAUGACCGUCAAUAGCGACUUAGGUAAUUUCUUUAUCUAACUACUUUUUCCAUACUUUGUCUUCUUUCAUAGAAAAGCAAGGAUUAGGGUUGAGUCAAGAGUUACGAUUUAUGUCCAACUUACCAAUCUUGGUGGAUAUAAUAAUGGUGGCUUGCAUACCCUUACCACCUAAAGUCUUCUAGUAUCAUAAAUAAGGAGAUAGUUUGCCAUACUUUGCUUUUUCUUGCUUAGUUUAUGUCAAAUUUAUGUGUGUUUUGUGUACUUUAGAGUUGCUUUCUCUCCUAAAGGGUUUUAGGCCCUUGACUGUGAAAGAGCUUUGACAUUUAGGAAAAAAAAACUACUAUAUGCUAUUAUUUGAAGGCGAUCUAUAUAUAGUGUUUUAACAACUGAGCUAACCAAUUACAAUUCUAACUAUCUAACCAUCUAACUAAUAUAACUCUCAUUCCAGUAGAAUGGUUGUUAUUCAACUGCUGAGUUGGUGAGGUUGUUUUGAUGUGGUUCAUUCCCCCGCAAGCUCACUGGGUGAGGAAUAAUGUACAGCUUGGUAUGAAACAUAAAGAAUAGUGAGCUUGAAAGAUGCUUGGUAAAGAUAUCAACUACUUGAUCUUGAGAGGGAAUGUAGCAGAUGUUAAUAAAAAAUACUUUGCACCAGUUGUGGAUAGAGUAGGUGCAGGGCCCCAUAGAUCAGCAUGGAUUAAUGCGAGGGAAUGUUGAGCUUUGGACAAAGACAAGUGAAAAGGUAGUCUUUAACUUUAAUUAGAAAGUUGACAAGCACUACAUAUAGGAGUAGGAGAAUGAGUACAUGAGAUAUUACAUGAAGAAAGAAUUUGUUUAACUAUAGGAACAGUUGGAUGGUCUAGUCUUCGGUGCCAGGUGUGGAAGUCAGCUAGAGAGAGGAGAAGCUAAUGAUAAAUGAGGAUGGAAACUUGGAAACCUGCACAGACCCUACUCAAUGGUUCCUUGAAGAAGUGUCUUCUUUGUAGUCUUGUCCUUAAUAAAAAACAAAGUAGCAUGAAACUCAAAAAAUGUAUUAUUGUCAUGAAAAAAUUUGGAAACACUUAUGAGGUUGGUAGCUAGAUUAGGAACAUGAAGAACUUGCUAUAAUUUAAAAGAUCUAUGUGGAGUAGGAAAGUACUUGGAUCCAACGUGUAAAAUGGAUAGUUGUUUACCAUCUCCAAUGGUGACUUUGUCAUGGCCUUGAUAGGUAAGAGGAUUGGAGAGUUGUUCAGUACUUGGGUAAGGCGGUGAGUUGCUCUUAUGUCAAGGAACUAGGAGUCAUUGAGUGUUAAGGAAGGUGAGACCAUCAUUGCUUAGAUACCAUUGCUGGUUGUUGCACCAUUUAGGGUUGAUGAAGGCUUUGCAGAAUUUGUUGUAGGGGAACCUGAUCGUUGAAAUGGGAUAUCAAACUUGUGAUAGCAUGAGAUGACUGUGUGACCGAAUUUGCCUCAUAAUUGGCAUUGAGGUCUAUCAUUUAUGUUAUUGGGACGAUGUUCUUCUCCACGUCCACCUAAGCAUCCUCUUCUUGGAGGAUGAUGGGAAUAAUGUUGAUGAUGAAAUAGAGAGUUGGGUUGCCCAUUAUGAUAGAUUCUUGGAUGAGUAGCCCAAUUGUGAGUGACAAUAUGGGCUGAUAUAGCUUCGUUUUCUGUUAUGGUAUUCUGGAAAUUAAGACAUUAUUCGUGUGUGAGCAAGAUACUAUUGACGAAGUGAAGAGAGAUGUCAUCAUCCCAAGCAGUGAGAGAUGCUACUAUAGAAUUAUAGUCAGCUCCAAGACCACCAAGAAGCUGCAAUAUUUGAUCCUUUCUGCAAUGGGUUCUCCAAUGGCAGCAAGAUUGUGGCUAAGCGUUUUGAAUUUGAGGAUGUACUCCAUCAUUGUAAGAGAACCCUUUUAAAUGGUUUGAAAUGCAAGACGAAGUUGCAUUAUUCUUGCAUAGGAAGAAACGGAAAAUAUUUUCUCUAGGGCAAUCUAUGCUGCAUGGGAUGUCUGAUGCCCAAUUAUUUGUCCCAUUAUCUCAGGGGUAACAGAAGAGUAUAUCUAGCUUAAGAUCAUUCUAUUAAAGCGUCUCUAAGUGAUGAAAUCUGGGUUGAGUUCACCUGUUGUCGUUGUCUUGAAAGGGCAGACUUUUAUCUCUUCAAUAUGCUCGUCGAAUCCAUUCUCAGAGAUUACAUUCUUCAUUUGAGUAUGCCAGAGAAUGUAAUUAGUUCUAUCUAGUUUAACUGGUAAUGCAUGAUUCAGUACCUACAUUCGUUGCAUGGUUCCAUUAGACGUAUGCAGAAGUUUGAGGCGAAGUUGCCAUUUGGAGAAAAUAGCUUCAAGCUUGUUUGGUUUUCUAGAAAUAUUCUGGAACUUGUUUUACUAAGAUUUUUUCAGAGAAAGUUCAAGAAAAAUGGUCGUGGCUCUAAUACCAUGAAAGAGCUUUGACAUUUGGGAAGAAAAACUUAUUACUUAGAGGUGAUCUAUAUGCAAUGUUUUAACAACUGAGCUAACCAAUUACAGUUCUAACCAUCUAACCAUCUAACUAAUAUAACUCUUCAUUCUAAUAAAAUGGUUGCUAUUCAGCUGCUGAGUUGGUGAGGUUGUUUUGAUGUUGUUCAGACUGAUUUUUUUUUAGGAAAUGGUAGGCUUUAUUGUGUAAACUUAGUGAGGAUGAGAAAGAUGAGCGUGUCUCGACACGUCUUAUUAAAUGAUGUGUGCGUGAGCUGUAAUUCCUUCUAUUAUAAAUAUUAUUGAAGAAGUGAAUAUGGAUAGUGGUUACAAAUCAAUACCUACCAAAAAUAUGCAUAGAGAAUGUCAACGUGUUUUUCCUUUCAUGCCCUUACAAGAUUGAGCUUCCGUCAUGGAUGUCAAUCUUGGAAUGAUGAUCUAGAAAUUAGAGGCACAAUAGUGGCUUUAUGAGGGAGUUUGAGAGCUAAUUGGAGGUUUGGAUGUGAGAGACCCAUAGCAACUUCUUGGACACUUGAUUAUGAACAAAGCAAAAAUCUAUGGCCAUAUACUUUAUGCAAGAAUAAAACACUGGAUUAGCACAAAAAUAUGUGACCCCUACAUUGUAGGAAUAAAUCAUUGGAUAGAGAAUGAGCAUUAAGUUCAUGGAGAAGGUUCUACACCAAAUUAACUUUAGCUACGGUGGAGACAACGACUCAAUAUUCUACUUUGGUCAAGAAUUGAGCUAUAAUUUUUUGUUUCUUAGAACUCAAACCGAUCAGAUAGGAACCAAGAAGUACAACAUAGACUAAUGUGGAAUUGUGAUCAUCAAAAUUUCUCGCCUAGUUGCAUUUGCAAGGGCAUGGAGAGUGAGUGGUGAGUGCUUGCAAAGAAGGAUGUCAAGAUUAAGGGUUCUUCCUUUAAGAUAAUGAAGAACCCUUUUAACUACUAACCAAUGAUUAGUGAAUGGGCAAUGUAUGAACUCAAAGAGCUUGUUUAUUGCAAAAGAAAUAUCAAGUCAAGUGAUUAAGAGGAAUCGCAUAGAUCCAAUGACCUGAUGAUAUUAAGGGGGAUCAAUCAACAGUGCUCCAUCAUGCAAUGUAAGGAAUGCAGUAGAAGAGAGCAGAGUUAAAACCUCAUUUACACUAAGCAUAUUGUUUUUCUCAAGUAAGUCGUCUAUGUACAUGUCUAAAAGAGGAAAAGACCAAGUGAUGUCAAAAUAGCUUCAAUUCCAAGAUAGUAUGGUAAGAGACCAAGGUCAUUGAGUGAAAAAUGAUGAUAUAACAAUAAUAGAUUCAUUAUUUAUAAUAUGAUUCAAAUUCCUCAAUUUCUCUACCCUAUCAUGGAUUAUACUCUUUAUGUAUUCAAGCCUAAAAUCUCUUACAUUAUACAUAAUUUGGGUGCAUAGAAGAUCCAAGUCACGAUAUGUUUCCUACAAGUACAUUUGUUCAUAAUUGGUUCAUAGACUUAAGUAAUUCAUUUGAAGUUAUAGUGCACUACCUCCUAAUUGGAGGAAUGACUUAUCUUGGUUAUCAAAAUGGGUUUAUCAUGGUGAGUGUAUUAGAGUGUAUGGUUACCUAUUGAAAAGAGUCUAUGAUAAAUUGGUUCAUUCAUUGGAAAAUAAUAGGCAAAGGCACAUGCACUUGAUAUUGCAAAGGCUUAAUCCUUCCUUACUUCUUUGAAAGGUGUAGAAAACUUCUUAGCAGUUUGUAUCUACCUUCGUACAAGUUCUUUUACUCAACCUUAAAGACAUUAGAAGAAGACUUCCUAUAGCAAGCUUCCUCUUAGUUAGGAUCCACAUUGCAAUCUUCUAAGGCAUUAGACUCAAUAAAGAAUAUAUUGUUUGGUUGGUUAAGCAUCUUUUACCUACCCAAUUGUAAUUCUCCCAAUGAUAAGAACUUAAGGAAGCCUAGUGUAGCAAAAAAGAUGAUAUAAAGAAGGAAGUCCAAUGUGCACCAAUUUGAAUGACAUUAACAACCCUCUUAUAGCUAUGGUGAGAAAGAUGAACAAGCUAGUUGCCCUAAAUAUCUAAAACACAAAGGCAUAGUUAGAAUCCAAUGAAGAGAGAACAAAUCAUAUUGAAGAUUUACAAAGCAAAAGGAGGUGAUGACUACUUCUAUCGUCUUUCACCUAUGAUUCACCAAAGAAUGCAUCAUCAUUUGCCAACCCUUCUAGAUGGAAAGAGACUAGGAGGUGGCUACAUUGCUCCUAGUUCUUGAUGGAGUCCAAGAUCUUAUAAAUGAGACUCCUUGAGUACCAGGAAAAUUCCUCUUGACUUGGGAAAAGAAACUAAAGUUUCCUCACCCAAUAUUAUGGGAUCUUUUCAUCAUGUUUAACAAAACUAACCCCAUGAGAACCCUAAUGGAAUUUACAGGGAGAGAUCCCCAUAUGGGAUUUAAAAAAAUGUUACAAUAAAGGUGAUAGUGACAUCCUAAGGCUCCCUUUAAUGUUUUGCUACAUUCCAAAAAUGGGAAAAUAUGGAGAAAGAAUAUGGAUCCAAAGGGGUGCGACACAUAGUAGCCAAAGGAGGCUACUCUCAAGCUAGGAUCAAGAAGUCCAUAUUACCUUCAACCAAAAAAAAGACCGAAAACACAGUUAAUCAUGAUGACUGCUUCGAAUGAAUGCCCAAAUCAAUUGAGGUCACAUUUUAGCAUCCAAAGUAAGGAUCAUCCACCUAUACAAGACAUUAAUUAACUUAAUAGCCCCUUCUUGCCCAUUGUUUAUUACCUGAUUGUAUCCACCCAUCUCAAAUUUUCCACCACCAUGUUCAUUGGUGUUGUCCAUUGUUUAUUACCUGAUAGCAUCUGCCAUUCUCAGUUUUUUCACCAACCUGUUCAUCAUGGUAUCCCUGAUCCCCAUCAAUUGAAGGUGCUUUGUCUUUUUCAUUUCAGGAAACCCCCAGUUUGCUUGCAUGAAGACUAAGGUACAAAAAGAUAAGGGUAAACAAAGGAGAUGAGAUUUAUCCCUUGUCCCAGAUUAUUGCCCUUCCAAAUAAUUAUGAUAAGGCAAUAAUCUACAUAAUAUCAACUGUGGAAAGUUCAACUCAGUGUUCAUUCCAGAAAAUGCAUUAUAAAUGGUAAUAAUUGCAAUGGGUAGAAUUAAUUAAUGGCAACAACAUAAGUAAGUGAUCCAUUAUAAAAAUUCAAAUUUCACUUCACCAACUAAAAAUCAUUUCAAUUUCCCAACUAAACACUUCUAAAACAUGUAUGAUAAAAAAAGAAAAAAAAAAGUUCCAAAAAUAUCAAGAAUGUCAAAUUGUGCACAUGAUUGGUAAAAAAUUUGAUAAUGUCACCAAAGAAAUUUAAAUACCAAGUUUCACAGAAAAAUACAUAAAUAAAUGCUAUAGAGUGGGGGUAAAGAAUGAAAGAUAUGUACCUGGAAGAAGCCCCAUUCUUGGCAGGCAUGGUGGAGGUCGAUGAUGGGGACAUGGGGCAUAGAAUCAGUGGUGUUGGAUAAGACUGGAGGGUCUUGUUCAGGACGCAAGUAUCGAUGUGGGACUGCUGUCAGAGGCUCCUUCACCAGCUCCUGAACACAAGGCACCAGCAGAGAGCUUCCAAGGCUUGACAGUCCUGACUCCAUAGCUGUCGGCAAGAGAUAAAGAUAUUGUCUAUCCCUGAAACAAAGGAUCUGUUAUAGUCUUAUAGACUGAGACGAAGCCAAACAUGAUGAUGUUUUUCAAAUUUCAAAAAUGGAAAGUACUCAACAUAUCAUUUUUUUUUUCCAUCAUCUUUAAUUAUUAUGAUAUAAAAUAUUGCCUUGGCAUUUUAAAAAUGAUGCAUCCACACUCCACAGUCGCUGCCAAGACAGCCCACCCACCGCACUUGAGAUAAAAAUUUGUAAACAUGUUUGUGGUAUCAGAAAAAAUGAUGAUCGAAGGAUUCUCUCCUUUAUGAUGAAAACAUUAAUCCAACUUGAUAUCAUCACAAUCAUUAUGUCUCAGUAAUUGAGAGUUUUGGAGAAAGUAAUGUUUUGUGUCAUGUGGGCAGAAGCUUUUUUUUUUCUUUUUAAUCUUCAUUGGUUUUAAUGUAAUUCAUAAAACCAAUAUUGCCAAUAUUGGUUUGAGCAUAUGAACCAAUACUAUAGCUCUCAAUUUUAGUUCUAUUAUCUAUUACCAAUCUUAGUUUUAGAAUAAUUUUACAAAAUAUUUGAAACCAUCAUUGAUAAUAUUUUUAAAAAAAAUUUUGAAACCAAUACUGUUAGUGCUUGUUUAAAUUUUUUUUAAAUUAACUUAAAACAAAUAUUGCCAAUGUGGGCUUUGGUACAUAUAAAAAGAUAAAAUAAUUUCUCUUUACAUAUGUUGUCCACGUGGCAAAGCAUUUCUUUGACAAAUAUUUUGAAUGGCAUCCUAAUACUAUAAUAUUAAAAAUAAAAUAAAAAAGCAUUACUUUUUCCAAAAAAAAAAAGAAAAAAAACCCUCCAUAAAUGAGAAGAUUGUUUUGUUGGACUUUAAAGUCACUUGGUAGGAACUUAAGCCACUACCUCACACAAUCGUGCAAGUUCAACCGAUGGACUUUUGUACUUGAUUAUUUAAUUAAUUUAGGGGGAAUUAUGUAAAUAUAUAUUAUUUACAAAAUAUGAAUAAAAAGAUAACCCAAAAAAAAAAUUAUUUUUAUAGGAAAUAUACCUUAAAAAAAAUAAUUUUCAUUUCAUGUACUAAAAUAAUAUCUACCUCACCUUACCCAUAAAUGUCUUUAUAUGUGUAUUUGGAUUGUCGUGCCUAACUCACAUAAGGAUGGUAUAUCAUUCAAUCAAAAAAUGUACUUUAUACCUAAAAUAUUGGUACUUUAUGACUAAAACAAUGUUACUUUAAUACUAAAGUAUAUGCGAGGGUAAUAUAUGUUACUUCCAAAAUUAGGUAAUUAAUAGGUAAUCAUUAUGAUAAAAAGUCAAAAUAAAUAACAUCAACUAGUGAAUCUAAUUAUUAUCAUACAAGAGUUGAAUAUAUAUAUGCAUUAUCACACUAAAUAUUACAAGUAAUUAACAUAAUUAUAAUGCCUAAUAAAUGUCACAUACAUUGUAAUUUACUCUAAUCCCAUGAGUUUUCAAAAGCACCAAAUAAAAUACAAAUUAAAAGAAAAAAAAAUUAAAUAGAAGAAGGGGACACAAUAUUUACAAGGUUUUGGAAGGAUGCCUUAGCAAUGAUUAAUCCAUGUUCAGUAAGGUGGCAUUACACUUAUGGGUCACUCGUGGAGCCAAGUUGCCGCCCCAUGAGACCUUUGUGAUGCAUACUCCGAGUUAAAGAGCUAACAGGAAGCCACUUACCCUUCAAGAAAAGCACAUAAAUUUGAAAUUUUUGUUGGUUCUUUCCCUUCCCUAACUUAAUGUGCAUUAUUCUCAAAUGUAAUGAAAGACACAUGUAAAAGUAGGAAAAGUUACCUCAAAAGGUAGAUCAUCACACUUAACUUCACAAACACAACCAAAAAAAAAAGGAAAAUCAAGUUAGAUAUGUAUAGAAUAUAAAGAAAAUAAAGGGAUAUACCAAUCUGAUAGCAAAAAAUAAGACUGUCAAAGGAGUAUCAUUUGGAAAACAUGCCACUCAUCAAAAUAAAAUUUCAAGUUUAUCCAAAUAAAGUGUAUAAAAAAAAUGGAACUCAAGCAAAGCCUCAAUCAACAUCUAGUGUGGAGACUAUUAAGUCUACAUCCAUUGAGGCUAUAGCCUCCCCUUCAAUAAUUGAAAGCGGAGCAUCAUCAAUAGUAAUGACUACAUCAAUUAUGGUAAUUUCAAGUUUUGAGCUCAAAUAUUGCAGUAAACUUGGGAAGUUAAAUACUUGAAUAAAGCUUAGGGGUAGUAGUGCUAGAAAAUUUUGAGAAUGAAUUUAAGUAGGAAAAGGUAGUAUGUUAGCAAACUAGAGGCAUGCAUUGUUUCUGAAAUCUUUCACAAUGUAAAUUGAUUUUGGAAGUUCACUUCUAUUUCGGUUUACAAGUAAAAUUCAUAACCUCACUACAACAAAUUUUACAUUUUGCUACCAUAUUUUUAGGCACAAAUAAAUUUUUAUGAAAAAAAAAAAAUUACAACAAAUUUUAUUUUUAUGGUAAAAAGGAAUUUUUUUUUUUUAGAGAUUAAAUUUGUACUCAUGAAAAAACACUAUAUUUAACCAAUUCGAGUCCCCUCAAGGUCAUUAGAGGUUUACCUAGUUGUUAAUUUUAAGGCCCCGUGGGAUUAGUCGAGGUGCGCAUAAGCUGGCCCUGCCAUCCACGGUUAAAGUCACAUUUGUGGCUGAAAAAUAACCAUGGGUGUAGUUACCCCCAAAGCAUUAGCUUCUUCUAAUGCAAUUUCAGGAUAUAAGGCCACGUAUAAAUCUCUUCUUCCCCUUCUUCUUCUUCUUCUUCUUUUAUUCUUUUUUUGAGAAAUACAAAGAUUUCUGUUACGUUUUGUUCUCACAUGCAUGUUCCCCAUGAUUAUAUAAACUUUCAAUUUUUAUUUUUAUCUGGGGAUUGGGAAGUAAAAAAUAUGAAUUAGUCCCGGUUACGGUAGCUGUUUAUGAAUGUUUUGAGACCCCUUUGAGUAUGCAAGUGAUGUGGUAUAUUCCAAGCUUGGCUGGGCAACUUCUUAUCUUUUUCACACACCUAUAACUUGUGGUUGUUGUAUCUUCAUGGUGGUUUGUGUUCAAGUUUCUCAUCAUAGUGCUCGUCUCUAUUUUCAGUGGCUUUGAUGAAAAUUGGGUAAUUGCCAACAGGAAAGAUGCAAAAUUAAGAACAAAAUACUUAGUUAAGGGUUAGAUUUGUUAGUCUUGAUAUUGUUUUUCUUAUUUUUGAUAUGUAGAGAUGUUAAACAAAUGACACAAAGAUCAAAUUGUUUAGGAUUAAAAUAAGAUAUAUUUAGAAUUUUAAUUUGUUCUUCUAAAAAUAAAGGGGCGAAUUAUGGUGAUAUUAAAAAAGUUUGACAUUAAACACCAGAAGCAUCCAUCAUCAUUUGCAGAUUUUCAGGACAUUAUUCAUUCUUUCUUGUAGCAUUAUUCUGUCCAAUUUUUUUUGCAUAUAUAGGCAAUACUCAAAUGUUUUGGCCUUCUUCCUUUCCAUCAAUCCUCAGGGCUUCAAGGUAUGAUUUUCCACCAAGUUCCCGUGAAAAUAAUUUCUUGACAUAAUCUGCAACCCCCACUCUUCUAAACAAUGCUGGAAACUCUGGAGUGAUGAGGCUGGGCACUGGACCUAUUUCUGCAUCCAUUUGUGGGUUGUAAAAUGUAG
Molecule: long non-coding RNA, 11788 nt
Filed under: Vitis vinifera (wine grape)
Lineage: Eukaryota; Viridiplantae; Streptophyta; Magnoliopsida; Vitales; Vitaceae
Description: long non-coding RNA (VVIN_LNC005095)
Source: RNAcentral